Molecule: long non-coding RNA, 1776 nt
Organism: Vidua macroura (Pin-tailed whydah)
Lineage: Eukaryota; Metazoa; Chordata; Aves; Passeriformes; Viduidae
Exons: 3
Source: RefSeq, a predicted model, not a curated record
CCUAGUAGCAUAGCAGUUAAAGCAUAACCUCAUGGCUUUCAGCCAGACAAGGAACCCUUCCACCAGACCAAACUGCUCAAAGCCCCGUCAUAUUUGAGUUCCUUCAACUGCUGUCAGAUUCUGGGGAAAACCUUAUCCCUGGGACAGCUGGGAGUGAUCUCUAAUGGGCUUUGCCGUGAAAGAAUGGGAGAAGCACAACUUUAUCUCAAAAGUGAGACACCUAAAGCUGAUGGAGUCCUCAUGGUCACAUCCCACCAACAGAACAGCAAUCGCAGGAGAAGUCAUGAGCACGAGAAGCCAAACACUGAACGGGGGAGCCAGGAAGUGACCAACGUGGAGAUCAACAGCACCUGAGCCUGUCCACAAGGACGCUGCCCCAUAAGGUACCCCAAAGACAGGUGGUGGCUGAAUUCAGAUCAACUGGCUUAUGGCAACCCCCAGCAAAGAACUAUUUUAGAAGCAAACCUGUACCUAAAAGAGAUGCUACUACUGUUAAGGAUGAGACUUUUAAGUGCUCAGCAGUCAGGAAAAUUCAGAGUUAAGGUUUCCACAGCAACUUGGGCUCUGCCCUCCCAUGCAUUACAAUAGGGGCUUUGGUGCCAUUAUCGCAGGACCCUGGGCAACCCCAGCUACUGUUCAGUAAUCCAUGCAACCAGGGAAGACCGAGCUGGACCACGGAAGGGGCGGGCAGCGAGGAGCAGGCGGCAGCCGGAGACACCACGGCAUCUCCCUAGAAACCAGGAAUGCAGGAGUCGGGAGCAUCCCGAAGGCGCUGAUCCAGCAGCCGGAGCCGCGGAGGGGGCAGCCGCCGGCAGAAAGGGUGUGCUGCUGCUCAUCAGGGAGGUUUCGUGUGGGAAGGGCUGGGGGAAGGAGAAUUUUCCCCUUCCCUCGCGGCCGAAGGGCAGCUCCCCUCCAGCUCGGCACCUGCCCGGAGCCGGGAGCCGAGCGGGGCUGUUCCCACCGGCGCUGCGAGCGCCCAGGGAAAAACCUCCCCGUGGAUCAAAAGGCCGUGCAAGCCCGUUCUCGCCACUCCAGGCAGCUCCGUUUCAGAUAAGGAUGGGUGCUUAGUCGGGCUCCCACCACUUUCUCCCCUUGUCCUGUGAGAACUCGGCUCCUCCAGCAAUGAGCGCACGCAGGGCUCUGCUCCUGCCUUUAAAUCUGGCUGUACAAACUCGCUGUUGUUUACUUAGCCUGUGCUCUUGGGCUAGAAACAGCGAUAAAUCCCCACACCACCCUGCUCCUAAAAGCACAUAAAUCAAAUUGUACUUCUCUUUAUAAUCCCCUUCCCUUUGAGACUGAUUAUUGAUCCUUACAACUGUUGAAGAUUUAUUGCAUUAUAGUGAUCCAUCCUUGAUCACCAGAUAAUCUCCUAAGGGUUUGGGGGCUUUUGCCAUCAGUAGCUCAUGCAAAGCUUCAUAAAUACAUUAAUUUUUUGCUUCUUUUCUGGAAUGGGCCUUCACCAGUGAUCAGGUGCAGACUACAAACAGCCUUCCAUGUCAUGUCAUAUAUGCACUGAACAAUGCUAUUGCAACGCAUAUGCCCAAAGGGGCACGGCUAAAAUGACCAGCCAAGGAUUAUUUCUUUUCAGCUGUGGGUUUGCUUCCUCUUUUCUUGGGUUUUUUCCCCGUUUUCCUUCCCUGUGCUAUGUAAUACAGAAGUGAAAGGUUUUGUUGCCUUGUUUUUAAAGGCAUUCUUUUCCCUGCUCCUUUUUCUGUUCUCGAUGGGUAAUUAUGCCCCUCUCCUCACCGUAGUAUCUAAAUGUCUUCCAGUGGUGCA